GAUGAACGCUGGCGGCGUGCUUAAUACAUGCAAGUCGAGCGAACAGACCAGGCUCUUGCUCCUUUCACGUUUGGCGCACACGUGUGAGAAACACGUGUAUAACCCACCUAUAAUACUGAUAUCAUCUGGGGAAACCGGAGCAUAUCCCGUAUAAUAUAUUGAACCGCAUGGUUCAAUAGUGAAAUACGGUUUUGCUGUCUCUUAUAGAGGGUUCCGGGCUGCAUUAGCUAGUUGGUAAGGUAACGGCUUACCAAGGCGACGAUGCGUAGCCGAAGGGAGAGGGUGGUAGGCGGCACGGGAGCUGGAACGCGGUCCAGGGUACUACGGGAGGGAGCAGUAGGGAAUCUUCGGCAGUGGGCGAAAGCCUGGCGGAACAACGCGGCGUGAGUGAUAGAGGUCUUGGGUUCGUAAAACUCUGUUAUUGGGGAAGAACAGAUGUGUAAGUAACUAUGCACGGCUUGACGGUACCUAGUAAGAAAGCCACGGCUAACUACGUG
This 497-nucleotide ribosomal RNA is filed under the name uncultured bacterium. RNAcentral describes it as "partial 16S ribosomal RNA". It matches the Rfam family "Bacterial small subunit ribosomal RNA", at positions 28 to 507 of the family's 1533-position model. The record is from RNAcentral.